UUCUCAUUUUCCUUUCCUGCUUAUUUGACCUCCAAUUUCCAUUGUACAUUCAGAUGGGUCCAGCUCGACAGGAAUGUUCCAUUCCUUGAUGAAUAGAUGAUUUUGGCUGCAGUUGCUAGUCAAGCAAUGAAAGCAAACAAAUACGUACGUCUGCCCAUCUGCCCAUUCACGAUACCUGACUUCCAAUUUCAGUGGCUUACCAUUUCCACUUUCAGAUACUAAUAGAAAAUUCCUCUGAAGAUGUAGGAAGGGGAAAAGAAUGGUGAAGAUUAUAUGAAAAUUUUCCUACUCAUAGCUGCAAUCUAUUCCCAUGUUGGUAUGCCUGCCUACUCACAAAUCAACAACGGUUAUAUCAAUGGUUCAACAACAGUGGUAGUUGUUAUAUAGACAGAAAUUUCCUUUCUGCAUGUAGGAGGAAAAGAACAACAAGGGUGAUGAAUUAAAAAAAUUUCCAACCAAAGCUCAGCCUAUUCAAAUGGUGGUUUGUUAAGGACGUCAACUGUAGAUGAUGGCUUUUUCUCUUUCUUUUCAAGCAUUCAUGUUUGGACACAUUCUUUAGGAGGGAGGCUACAACAUGGUCUUGCUCCUUCUAGAAGCUCAAUAGAUCUUGUUGCAUUUUUGGAGUUCCAGU
Molecule: long non-coding RNA, 631 nt
Organism: Vitis vinifera (wine grape)
Lineage: Eukaryota; Viridiplantae; Streptophyta; Magnoliopsida; Vitales; Vitaceae
Exons: 3
Source: RefSeq, a predicted model, not a curated record